GGAAUUCUCCGCAAUGGGCGAAAGUCUGACGGAGCGACGCUGCGUGAAGGAUGACGGCCUGCGGGUUGUAAACUUCUUUUCUCGAAGAAGAAGCUCUGACGGUAUUCGAGGAAUAAGCAUCGGCUAACUCCGUGCCAGCAGCCGCGGUAAUACGGAGGAUGCAAGUGUUAUUCGGAAUGAUUGGGCGUAAAGCGUCUGUAGGCUGUAUAGAAAGUCUUUUGUUAAAUGCCUCGGCUCAACCGAGAUCCAGCAAAGGAAACUUCUAUACUUGAGGGAAGUAGAGGUACAGGGAAUUCCCGGUGGAGCGGUGAAAUGCGUAGAUAUCGGGAGGAACACCAAUAUGGCGAAGGCACUGUACUGGGCUUUACCUGACGCUCAGAGACGAAAGCUAAAGGAGUGAUUAGGAUUAGAUACCCCAGUAGUC
Molecule: ribosomal RNA, 424 nt
Filed under: uncultured eukaryotic phytoplankton
Lineage: Eukaryota
Description: bacterial SSU rRNA
Rfam family: Bacterial small subunit ribosomal RNA
Source: RNAcentral